RNAcentral lists this ribosomal RNA (253 nucleotides) under uncultured bacterium. Its description in RNAcentral is "partial 16S ribosomal RNA". It matches the Rfam family "Bacterial small subunit ribosomal RNA", at positions 524 to 776 of the family's 1533-position model. The record is from RNAcentral.
UACGUAGGUGGCAAGCGUUGUCCGGAAUUAUUGGGCGUAAAGAGCUCGUAGGCGGUUCAGCAAGUCGGGUGUGAAAAAUCUGGGCUCAACCCAGUGGAGCACCCGAUACUGCUGUGACUAGAGUCCGGUAGGGGAGUGUGGAAUUCCUGGUGUAGCGGUGAAAUGCGCAGAUAUCAGGAGGAACACCAACGGCGAAGGCAGCACUCUGGGCCGGUACUGACGCUGAGGAGCGAAAGCGUGGGGAGCGAACAGG